This 2645-nucleotide ribosomal RNA is filed under the name Lucayalana troglexuma. RNAcentral describes it as "partial 18S ribosomal RNA". It matches the Rfam family "Eukaryotic small subunit ribosomal RNA". The record is from RNAcentral. Lineage: Eukaryota; Metazoa; Arthropoda; Malacostraca; Isopoda; Cirolanidae.
UCUGGUUGAUCCUGCCAGUCAUAUGCUUGUCUCAAAGAUUAAGCCAUGCAUGUCUGAGUACAAGCCGAACUAAGGUGAAACCGCGAAUCGCUCAUUAAAUCAGUCAUGAUCCACUGGAUCUUGUAAAAACCCACUCCUUGGAUAACUGUGGUAAUUCUAGAGCUAAUACAUGCAAACUGAGCUCCGACCCUGACUUCGUCGAAGCACGAGGCGGGGGAAGGGCGCAUUUAUUAGAUCACAAAACCGGUCGGACUUCGGUCCGUAAUCCCAAAACGAAUUUUUGUGAUGACUCUGAAUAAACCAGCCGAGCGCUACGGUCUUCGUACCGGCGCCGUAUCCUUAGAGUGUCUGCCUUAUCAGCUGUCGAUUGUAGGUUAUUCGCCUACAAUGGCUGUAACGGGUAACGGGGAAUCAGGGUUCGAUUCCGGAGAGGGAGCCUGAGAAACGGCUACCACAUCUAAGGAAGGCAGCAGGCACGCAAAUUACCCACUCCCGGCUCGGGGAGGUAGUGACGAAAAAUAACGAUGUGGGACUCUUCCGAGGCCUCACAAUCGGAAUGAGCUCACUUUAAAUCCUUGGACGAGGAUCCAUCGGAGGGCAAGUCUGGUGCCAGCAGCCGCGGUAAUUCCAGCUCCAAUAGCGUAUAUUAAAGUUGCUGCGGUUAAAAAGCUCGUAGUUGAGUUUCAAGUUCGGCCCGGAAGUCCAUCUUAGGCUCGUCUUUUGGUACCCCGCUACGCGCGGGGCGGAUUACCGUUGUCGUCCUAUCCCCUAGAAAACUUGUAAGACCGUGUGUCCUUUUUCACGGGUCUGUCGCGCUCAUUUCGAGCUCGUUCGCUUAAAAAUAAAAGCCUCACCACGAAAUCUCUUUCCCCGGUCGCGCGGGAUGCGGCCCAUUCUCUUCCGCCUCACUUCCCUCAACGAAGAGAGUCCACGGCAGAGAGUGAGGAGUAGCAGGUAGGAGUAGUAAUACUUCGACCUCGACCUUCUCGGGCGUCGGGAAUGGAGAGGUAGUGGUUCCAAGGGCGUAAUAAAAUAAGCGUUCGGGGUAGAACCUCGAGUGAGUACAAAAAAAAAUUUUUUUAAAUUUUUUUUUGGGGCGGCCGUCUCGUAAAAGGAUUUAAAAAAACGCGGCUGAAAUGUUUUACGGGCGGGGGCGUCGGUCUUCCGUUCUCCAGCGGGUAAAAAAAAAAGCGAGCCCGGGUGGUUCUCUAUCCGACGCCGAAUUACUUGAAAAAUCCGCCGGCCUUCACGGGGUGCUCUUCACCGAGUGUCCGCGCGAAGCCGACAAAUUCACUUUGAAAAAAUUAGAGUGCUCAAAGCAGGCAAAAAAUCUAAAACAUGCCUGAAUGGUAACGCAUGGAAUGAUGGAACAGGACCUCGGUUCUGUCAUUUUUUAAUCGGUUUUUCUGAACCCGAGGUAAUGAUUAAAGGGGACUGACGGGGGCAUUAGUAUUGCGGCGCUAGAGGUGAAAUUCUUGGACCGUCGCAAGACUAACUACUGCGAAAGCAUUUGCCAAGAAUGUUUUCAUUAAUCAAGAACGAAAGUUAGAGGAUCGAAGGCGAUCAGAUACCGCCCUAGUUCUAACCCUAAACGAUGCUAACUGGCGAUCCGCUUGAGUCAUACCCACGACUGAGCGGGAAUCCCCCGGGAAACCAAAGUUUUUGAGUUCCGGGGGAAGUAUGGUUGCAAAAUCGAAACUUAAAGGAAUUGACGGAAGGGCACCACCAGGAGUGGAGCCUGCGGCUUAAUUUGACUCAACACGGGGAACCUCACCAGGCCCGGACACCGGAAGGAUUGACAGAUUGAGAGCUCUUUCUCGAUUCGGUGGUUGGUGGUGCAUGGCCGUUCUUAGUUGGUGGAGCGAUCUGUCUGGUUGAUUCCGAUAACGAACGAGACUCUAUCCUACUAACUAGUCGGCGGAUCGUCUCCCGAGACGGGUAAAUCUACCAUUAGUUCGGGGUGCGUCCGGCAUGCGCUCCUCCCGAAGCGUUCCGACGAUCGGGUUCGGGAGGGGAGAAAAAUAGAGCGUACGGACGUGCGUGGGGUGAGGCUCGCUCCGUUCCGCGUCGAGGGUUUUCUCUCGUUUCGCGAUAGUUCGGAGAGGAACGAGUUUCUUCUCCAUCGCGUUCGCGCGUUACCUCUCGCGGCCCGCGAUCGGCGUUACGGGGGAUGCCUUCGCACUCCCGGGCGGGUGCUACCCAGCGAGGGGCGUCCGUCGCAACUUCUUCUUAGCGGGAUCGGCGGCGUCUAGCCGCACGAGAUGGAGCAAUAACAGGUCUGUGAUGCCCUUAGAUGUUCUGGGCCGCACGCGCGCUACAAUGCAGGGAUCAGCGUGCUAUCCCCCUCCGAAAGGAGCGGGUAACCCGAUGAAACCCCUUCCCGAUUGGGAUUGGGGAUUGUAAGUGUUUCCCAUGAACGAGGAAUUCCCAGUAAGCGCGAGUCAUCCAGCUCGCGUUGAUUACGUCCCUGCCCUUUGUACACACCGCCCGUCGCUACUACCGAUUGAGUGAUUCAGUGAGGGCAUCGGACUGGCGCCCUCGGUAACCUACGGUUCGCGUUCCCGCUAGCGCGUCGUCCCCUUUUUGGCGGAACGAUCGUGUCUAGCGCGCGUCCGUAUGGCAAUACCCCGGGCUGACGGAAAGAU